GUUUCCUCCCGGUGCCACCGGCCUGAGGCUUUGCUGGGGCGUAGCAAUUGCCCUCGUACUGGGAGGGCGACGAUUUUUCGUUCCAGCGCUUCCCCCUACCCCCGGUGGUGCUCCCUCCCCCAUCUUCUCUUCAGUAAUUCGCCCUUCCUCCUGCAGCCGUUUAGACGUAGUUAAAUGUGGCCCUAAAGAACUGAUUCCCCUGGGUGUUUAUUCACUCCUCGGAACUGAUAGCAGGGUGGGGAAAGAAAUUGAACAGGAGGUUUCUUUUUUGGGAGGGAACACGCACGCAACUCUACAGGCCCCCAACUGAAGCCAAGGACAGCAGCCGCUGCCCGGGAGGGACCGAGUUAUGAAGUAGUUGGGGAAACGCCCUCAGGCUGGGCUCUACGGGGAAGAUGUCUUCUCAGAGCUAGAGGGAAGGAGCUUUGAACUGCAACGGUUUGAGCUUCGAGGUCUACAUAAGGUGCAGCAGCUGUGUACCCAGUGGCUGACAUCAGACCCUCAGAGCACAGAUCAUUGAAAACCACAGAUAAUCCUGGAAUUUAUUGUUUGGUCCUGCUGUUCUUACACCAUUCAUGUUUCCUGGGGAACAAACCAGCAGUAAAGUGG
Long non-coding RNA from Phyllostomus discolor (pale spear-nosed bat), 609 nucleotides. RefSeq lists it as uncharacterized. The transcript has 2 exons. The record is from RefSeq and is a predicted model, not a curated record. NCBI's taxonomy places the organism in Eukaryota, Metazoa, Chordata, Mammalia, Chiroptera, Phyllostomidae.